Molecule: ribosomal RNA, 896 nt
Filed under: uncultured Gammaproteobacteria bacterium
Lineage: Bacteria; Pseudomonadati; Pseudomonadota; Gammaproteobacteria
Description: bacterial SSU rRNA
Rfam family: Bacterial small subunit ribosomal RNA
Source: RNAcentral
AUUGAACGCUGGCGGCAUGCCUAAUACAUGCAAGUCGAACGGUAGCAUGCUCUUCGGAGUGAUGACGAGUGGCGGACGGGUGAGUAAUACAUAGGAAUCUACCCAGUAGUGGGGGACAACUUGGGGAAACUCAAGCUAAUACCGCAUACGUCCUACGGGAGAAAGGGGGCCUCUUCUUGAAAGCUCUUGCUAUUGGAUGAGCCUAUGUCAGAUUAGCUUGUUGGUGGGGUAACAGCCUACCAAGGCAACGAUCUGUAGCUGGUCUGAGAGGAUGAUCAGCCACACUGGGACUGAGACACGGCCCAGACUCCUGCGGGAGGCAGCAGUAGGGAAUAUUGGACAAUGGGCGAAAGCCUGAUCCAGCAAUGCCGCGUGUGUGAAGAAGGCCUGCGGGUUGUAAAGCACUUUCAGUUGGGAAGAAAAGCUUAAGGUUAAUAUCUUUAAGUGUUGACGUUAUCAACAGAAGAAGCACCGGCUAACUCUGUGCCAGCAGCCGCGGUAAUACAGAGGGUGCGAGCGUUAAUCGGAAUUACUGGGCGUAAAGGGUAUGUAGGCGGUUAUAUCAGUCGGAUGUGAAAGCCCAAGGCUUAACCUUGGAAUUGCAUUCGAUACUAUAUGACUAGAGUACAGUAGAGGAAGGUGGAAUUCCUAGUGUAGCGGUGAAAUGCGUAGAUAUUAGGAGGAACAUCAGUGGCGAAGGCGACCUUCUGGACUGAUACUGACGCUGAGGUACGAAAGCGUGGGGAGCAAACAGGAUUAGAUACCCUGGUAGUCCACGCCCUAAACGAUGAGAACUAGAUGUUGGGAGGAAUUUGCCUCUUAGUGUCGUAGCUAACGCGAUAAGUUCUCCGCCUGGGGAGUACGGCCGCAAGGUUAAAACUCAAAUGAAUUGACGG